GCCUGGGUGGCUCAGCGGUUGAGCAUCUGACUUUGGCUCAGGGUGUGAUCCUGCAGUCUUGGGAUCUAGUCCUGCUUUGGGCU
RNAcentral lists this transfer RNA (83 nucleotides) under Canis lupus familiaris (dog). It matches the Rfam family "tRNA". From Rfam's summary of the family: Transfer RNA (tRNA) molecules are approximately 80 nucleotides in length. Their secondary structure includes four short double-helical elements and three loops (D, anti-codon, and T loops). Lineage: Eukaryota; Metazoa; Chordata; Mammalia; Carnivora; Canidae. The record is from Rfam by way of RNAcentral. RNAcentral also lists the same sequence under 1 other name.